This 497-nucleotide ribosomal RNA is filed under the name uncultured bacterium. RNAcentral's name for it is "partial 16S ribosomal RNA". It matches the Rfam family "Bacterial small subunit ribosomal RNA", at positions 28 to 507 of the family's 1533-position model. The record is from RNAcentral.
GAUGAACGCUGGCGGCGUGCCUAAUACAUGCAAGUCGAGCGAACGGACGAGAAGCUUGCUUCUCUGAUGUUAGCGGCGGACGGGUGAGUAACACGUGGAUAACCUGCCUAUAAGACUGGGAUAACUUCGGGAAACCGGAGCUAAUACCGGAUAAUAUUUUGAACCGCAUGGUUCAAAAGUGAAAGACGGUCUUGCUGUCACUUAUAGAUGGAUCCGCGCUGCAUUAGCUAGUUGGUAAGGUAACGGCUUACCAAGGCAACGAUGCAUAGCCGACCUGAGAGGGUGAUCGGCCACACUGGAACUGAGACACGGUCCAGACUCCUACGGGAGGCGGCAGUAGGGAAUCUUCCGCAAUGGGCGAAAGCCUGACGGAGCAACGCCGCGUGAGUGAUGAAGGUCUUCGGAUCGUAAAACUCUGUUAUUAGGGAAGAACAUAUGUGUAAGUAACUGUGCACAUCUUGACGGUACCUAAUCAGAAAGCCACGGCUAACUACGUG